AACGAACGCUGGCGGCAUGCCUAACACAUGCAAGUCGAACGAGACCUUCGGGUCUAGUGGCGCACGGGUGCGUAACGCGUGGGAACCUGCCCUUAGGUUCGGAAUAACUCCCCGAAAGGGGUGCUAAUACCGGAUAAUGUCUUCGGACCAAAGAUUUAUCGCCUUUGGAUGGGCCCGCGUUGGAUUAGCUAGUUGGUAGGGUAAAAGCCUACCAAGGCGACGAUCCAUAGCUGGUCUGAGAGGAUGAUCAGCCACACUGGGACUGAGACACGGCCCAGACUCCUACGGGAGGCAGCAGUGGGGAAUAUUGGACAAGGGGCGAAAGCCUGAUCAAGCAAUGCCGCGUGAGUGAUGAAGGCCUUAGGGUUGUAAAGCUCUUUUACCCGGGAUGAUAAUGACAGUACCGGGAGAAUAAGCGCCGGCUAACUCCGUG
This 433-nucleotide ribosomal RNA is filed under the name uncultured bacterium. RNAcentral's name for it is "partial 16S ribosomal RNA". It matches the Rfam family "Bacterial small subunit ribosomal RNA", at positions 29 to 507 of the family's 1533-position model. The record is from RNAcentral.